This 465-nucleotide ribosomal RNA is filed under the name Vreelandella stevensii. RNAcentral describes it as "partial 16S ribosomal RNA". It matches the Rfam family "Bacterial small subunit ribosomal RNA", at positions 338 to 795 of the family's 1533-position model. Lineage: Bacteria; Pseudomonadati; Pseudomonadota; Gammaproteobacteria; Oceanospirillales; Halomonadaceae. The record is from RNAcentral.
CCUACGGGCGGCAGCAGUGGGGAAUAUUGGACAAUGGGCGAAAGCCUGAUCCAGCCAUGCCGCGUGUGUGAAGAAGGCCUUCGGGUUGUAAAGCACUUUCAGCGGGGAAGAAAGCCUUGGGGCUAAUACCCUCGAGGAAGGACAUCACCCACAGAAGAAGCACCGGCUAACUCCGUGCCAGCAGCCGCGGUAAUACGGAGGGUGCGAGCGUUAAUCGGAAUUACUGGGCGUAAAGCGCGCGUAGGCGGUCUGAUAAGCCGGUUGUGAAAGCCCCGGGCUCAACCUGGGAACGGCAUCCGGAACUGUCAGGCUAGAGUGCAGGAGAGGAAAGUAGAAUUCCCGGUGUAGCGGUGAAAUGCGUAGAGAUCGGGAGGAAUACCAGUGGCGAAGGCGGCCUUCUGGACUGACACUGACGCUGAGGUGCGAAAGCGUGGGUAGCAAACAGGAUUAGAUACCCCAGUAGUC